RNAcentral lists this ribosomal RNA (771 nucleotides) under Limnonectes kuhlii (Kuhl's wart frog). RNAcentral describes it as "partial 16S ribosomal RNA". It matches the Rfam family "Bacterial large subunit ribosomal RNA", at positions 1532 to 2536 of the family's 2925-position model. The record is from RNAcentral. Lineage: Eukaryota; Metazoa; Chordata; Amphibia; Anura; Dicroglossidae.
CCAAAAAAUAACUUAAACCCUUUAUUACUAUUAAAUACUCCUAUAUCUUUAUAGAAAUACUAAUGCUAAAACUAGUAACAAGAAAUAGAAUUUCUCCAAAAUACAAGUAUCAACCAAAAUGGACUAACCAUUGGUAAUUAACGUUAUUGAACCUAAUAUAACAACCCCUCAAGAAAAUAUUAUAGCCUCCACCGUUAAUCUUACACAAGAGUAUUUCCGGAAAGAUUAAAAGAAAAGGAAGGAACUCGGCAAAUUUUAGCCCCGCCUGUUUACCAAAAACAUCGCCUCUUGUUCAACUAUAAGAGGUCUAGCCUGCCCAGUGACAUAGUUAAACGGCCGCGGUACCCUGACCGUGCGAAGGUAGCAUAAUCACUUGUUCUUUAAAUAAGGACUCGUAUCAACGGCAUCACGAGGGCUAUACUGUCUCCCCUCUCUAAUCAGUGAAACUGACUUCCCCGUGAAGAGGGGGGAAUAAGACUACAAGACGAGAAGACCCCAUGGAGCUUUAAACCCAAUAACAACCUCUAUUUCUUUAUAACUUAAAAAUCAAGAGGUACUGUCUAUUGGUUUUAGGUUGGGGUGACCACGGAGUAAAACUAAACCUCCAUGACGAAUGGUAUAUCCUAAUCCAAGAGCUACUGCUCUAAGAAUCAACAAUUUGACGUAAUAUGAUCCGGCAGCCGAUCAACGAACCAAGUUACCCUGGGGAUAACAGCGCAAUCCAUUUCAAGAGCCCCUAUCGACAAAUGGGUUUACGACCUCGAUGUUGGA